AUUGAACGCUGGCGGCAUGCCUUACACAUGCAAGUCGAACGGAUCUAGGGGCUUGCUCCUAGGUUAGUGGCGAACGGGUGAGUAAUGCAUCGGAACGUACCCAGUCGUGGGGGAUAACGUAGCGAAAGUUACGCUAAUACCGCAUACGUCCUGAGGGAGAAAGCAGGGGAUCGCAAGACCUUGCGCGAUUGGAGCGGCCGAUGUCGGAGUAGCUAGUUGGUGGGGUAAAAGCCUACCAAGGCAACGAUCCGUAGCUGGUCUGAGAGGAUGAUCAGCCACACUGGGACUGAGACACGGCCCAGACUCCUACGGGAGGCAGCAGUGGGGAAUUUUGGACAAUGGGCGAAAGCCUGAUCCAGCCAUGCCGCGUGAGUGAAGAAGGCCUUCGGGUUGUAAAGCUCUUUCAGACGGAAAGAAAACUUCGAGGCUAAUACCUUCGGAGGAUGACGGUACCGUAAGAAGAAGCACCGGCUAACUACGUGCCAGCCGCCGCGGUAACAC
Molecule: ribosomal RNA, 501 nt
Filed under: uncultured bacterium
Lineage: Bacteria
Description: bacterial SSU rRNA
Rfam family: Bacterial small subunit ribosomal RNA
Source: RNAcentral